GGACAACCUACCCUAAGGAGGGGGAUAACCCCGGAAAACUGGGGAUAAUACCCCAUAGACUACAGAUACUGGAAUGUUCUGUAAUCGAAAGGUCCGCCGCCUUAGGAUGGGUCUGCGGCUGAUUAGGUUGUUGUUGGGGUAACGGCCCAACAAGCCUGUAAUCAGUACGGGUUGUGGGAGCAAGAACCCGGAGAUGGAUUCUGAGACACGAAUCCAGGCCCUACGGGGCGCAGCAGGCGCGAAAACUUUACAAUGCGAGAAAUCGUGAUAAGGGAACCCCGAGUGCCCGUAAAUUCGGGCUGUUAAUCUGUUUAAAAAGCAGGUGGAGAAAGGGCCGGGCAAGACCGGUGCCAGCCGCCGCGGUAAUACCGGCGGCUCGGGUGGUGGCCACUAUUACUGGGCUUAAAGCGUCCGUAGCUGGAUUGUUAAGUCUCUUGGGAAAUCUACCGGCUUAACCGAUAGGCGUUCAAGGGAUACUGGCAAUCUAGGGACCGGAAGAGGUGAGAGGUACUCCAGGGGUAGGAGUGAAAUCCUGUAAUCCUUGGGGGACCACCUGUGGCGAAGGCGUCUCACCAGAACGGCUCCGACAGUGAGGGACGAAAGCUGGGGGAGCAAACCGGAUUAGAUACCCGGGUAGUCCCAGCUGUAAACGAUGUGCGUUAGGUGUAUCGGUGACCACGAGUCACCGAGGUGCCGAAGAGAAAUCGUGAAACGUACCGCCUGGGAAGUACGGUCGCAAGGCUGAAACU
RNAcentral lists this ribosomal RNA (749 nucleotides) under uncultured archaeon. Its description in RNAcentral is "bacterial SSU rRNA". It matches the Rfam family "Archaeal small subunit ribosomal RNA", at positions 102 to 856 of the family's 1478-position model. The record is from RNAcentral.